RNAcentral lists this ribosomal RNA (429 nucleotides) under Arenibacter sp. Ar-16. RNAcentral's name for it is "bacterial SSU rRNA". It matches the Rfam family "Bacterial small subunit ribosomal RNA", at positions 106 to 535 of the family's 1533-position model. Lineage: Bacteria; Pseudomonadati; Bacteroidota; Flavobacteriia; Flavobacteriales; Flavobacteriaceae. The record is from RNAcentral.
GUGCGCAACGCGUAUAGAAUCUGCCCUGUACUGGGGAAUAGCCCAGAGAAAUUUGGAUUAAUGCCCCAUGGUAUGUAUUAGCGGCAUCGCUUAUACAUUAAAGGCUACGGUACAGGAUGACUAUGCGUCCCAUUAGUUAGUUGGUAAGGUAACGGCUUACCAAGGCAGCGAUGGGUAGGGGCCCUGAGAGGGGGAUCCCCCACACUGGUACUGAGACACGGACCAGACUCCUACGGGAGGCAGCAGUGAGGAAUAUUGGACAAUGGGCGGGAGCCUGAUCCAGCCAUGCCGCGUGCAGGAAGACGGUCCUAUGGAUUGUAAACUGCUUUUGUACGGGAAGAACAAGGGGCACGUGUGCCCCUCUGACGGUACCGUAAGAAUAAGGAUCGGCUAACUCCGUGCCAGCAGCCGCGGUAAUACGGAGGAUCC